This 450-nucleotide ribosomal RNA is filed under the name uncultured bacterium. RNAcentral's name for it is "bacterial SSU rRNA". It matches the Rfam family "Bacterial small subunit ribosomal RNA", at positions 10 to 507 of the family's 1533-position model. The record is from RNAcentral.
AGUUUGAUCAUGGCUCAGGACAACGCUGGCGGCGUGCCUAACACAUGCAAGUCGAACGAGACCUUCGGGUCUAGUGGCGCACGGGUGCGUAACGCGUGGGAAUCUGCCCUUGGGUUCGGAAUAACAGCGAGAAAUUGCUGCUAAUACCGGAUGAUGACGUAAGUCCAAAGAUUUAUCGCCCAAGGAUGAGCCCGCGUAGGAUUAGCUAGUUGGUGAGGUAAAAGGCUCACCAAGGCGACGAUCCUUAGCUGGUCUGAGAGGAUGAUCAGCCACACUGGGACUGAGACACGGCCCAGACUCCUACGGGAGGCAGCAGUGGGGAAUAUUGGACAAUGGGCGAAAGCCUGAUCCAGCAAUGCCGCGUGAGUGAUGAAGGCCUUAGGGUUGUAAAGCUCUUUACCCGGGAUGAUAAUGACAGUACCGGGAGAAUAAGCUCCGGCUAACUCCGUG